RNAcentral lists this ribosomal RNA (489 nucleotides) under uncultured bacterium. RNAcentral's name for it is "partial 16S ribosomal RNA". It matches the Rfam family "Bacterial small subunit ribosomal RNA", at positions 28 to 507 of the family's 1533-position model. The record is from RNAcentral.
GACGAACGCUGGCGGCGUGCUUAACACAUGCAAGUCGAACGGUGAAGGGAUCAGCUUGCUGGUUCUGGAUGAGUGGCGAACGGGUGAGUAACACGUGAGUAACCUGCCCCCUUCUUCUGGAUAACCGCAUGAAAGUGUGGCUAAUACGGGAUAUUCUGGGUCUGUCGCAUGAUGGGUCUGGGAAAGAUAUUGUUUCGGUGGGGGAUGGGCUCGCGGCCUAUCAGCUUGUUGGUGGGGUGAUGGCCUACCAAGGCGGUGACGGGUAGCCGGCCUGAGAGGGUGGACGGUCACACGGGGACUGAGACACGGCCCAGACUCCUACGGGAGGCAGCAGUGGGGAAUAUUGCACAAUGGGCGCAAGCCUGAUGCAGCGACGCCGCGUGAGGGAUGGAGGCCUUCGGGUUGUAAACCUCUUUCGCCAGUGAAGCAGGCCUGCUCCUUGUGGGUGGAUUGACGGUAGCUGGAUAAGAAGCGCCGGCUAACUACGUG